RNAcentral lists this ribosomal RNA (237 nucleotides) under uncultured bacterium. Its description in RNAcentral is "partial 16S ribosomal RNA". It matches the Rfam family "Bacterial small subunit ribosomal RNA", at positions 104 to 334 of the family's 1533-position model. The record is from RNAcentral.
UGGCGGGACGGGGUGGAGUAAUGUCUGGGAAACUGCCCGAUGGAGGGGGAUAACUACUGGAACGGUAGCUAAUACCGCAUAACGUCGCAAGACCAAAGAGGGGGACCUUAGGGCCUCUUGCCAUCGGAUGUGCCCAGAUGGGAUUAGCUAGUAGGUAAGGUAACGGCUUACCUAGGCGACGAUCCCUAGCUGGUCUGAGAGGAUGAUCAGCCACACUGGGACUGAGACACGGCCCAG